RNAcentral lists this ribosomal RNA (423 nucleotides) under uncultured prokaryote. RNAcentral's name for it is "bacterial SSU rRNA". It matches the Rfam family "Bacterial small subunit ribosomal RNA", at positions 355 to 796 of the family's 1533-position model. The record is from RNAcentral.
UAACGAAUAUUCCGCAAUGCGCGCAAGCGUGACGGAGCAAUGCCGCGUGAAGGAUGAAGCCCCUCGGGGUGUAAACUUCUGUCAGGGGUCAGGAAACCUGACCAACCCCAAAGGAAGAGCCGGCUAACUCUGUGCCAGCAGCCGCGGUAAUACAGAGGGCUCAAGCGUUAAUCGGAAUCACUGGGCUUAAAGGGUGCGCAGGCGGAUCAGUAAGUGUCUUGUGAAAUACCACGGCUCAACCGUGGAACUGCUCGGCAGACUGCUGAUCUUGAGCCCGGCAGGGGCCGUCGGAACGCUAGGUGGAGCGGUGAAAUGCGUAGAUAUCUAGCGGAACGCCAAAGGUGAAGACAGACGGCUGGGCCGGCGCUGACGCUCAGGCACGAAAGCGUGGGGAGCGAACGGGAUUAGAUACCCCCGUAGUCC